RNAcentral lists this ribosomal RNA (744 nucleotides) under uncultured bacterium. RNAcentral's name for it is "bacterial SSU rRNA". It matches the Rfam family "Bacterial small subunit ribosomal RNA", at positions 8 to 798 of the family's 1533-position model. The record is from RNAcentral.
AGAGUUUGAUCAUGGCUCAGAACGAACGCUGGCGGCAUGCCUAACACAUGCAAGUCGAACGAACUCUUCGGAGUUAGUGGCGCACGGGUGCGUAACGCGUGGGAAUCUGCCCUUGGGUACGGAAUAACUCAGAGAAAUUUGUGCUAAUACCGUAUAAUGUCUUCGGACCAAAGAUUUAUCGCCCAAGGAUGAGCCCGCGUAAGAUUAGCUAGUUGGUGGGGUAAAAGCCUACCAAGGCGACGAUCUUUAGCUGGUCUGAGAGGAUGAUCAGCCACACUGGGACUGAGACACGGCCCAGACUCCUACGGGAGGCAGCAGUGGGGAAUAUUGGACAAUGGGCGAAAGCCUGAUCCAGCAAUGCCGCGUGAGUGAUGAAGGCCUUAGGGUUGUAAAGCUCUUUUACCCGGGAUGAUAAUGACAGUACCGGGAGAAUAAGCUCCGGCUAACUCCGUGCCAGCAGCCGCGGUAAUACGGAGGGAGCUAGCGUUGUUCGGAAUUACUGGGCGUAAAGCGCGCGUAGGCGGUUUUUUAAGUCAGAGGUGAAAGCCCAGUGCUCAACACUGGAACUGCCUUUGAAACUGGAAAACUUGAAUCUUGGAGAGGUCAGUGGAAUUCCGAGUGUAGAGGUGAAAUUCGUAGAUAUUCGGAAGAACACCAGUGGCGAAGGCGACUGACUGGACAAGUAUUGACGCUGAGGUGCGAAAGCGUGGGGAGCAAACGGGAUUAGAUACCCUGGUAGUCCAA